This 75-nucleotide transfer RNA is filed under the name Labeo calbasu (orange-fin labeo). Its description in RNAcentral is "tRNA-Asn". Lineage: Eukaryota; Metazoa; Chordata; Actinopteri; Cypriniformes; Cyprinidae. The record is from RNAcentral.
UAGAUGGAUGCUCGCUGGCUUGGGCGUUUAGCUGUUAACUAAGAGUUUGUAGGAUCGAGGCCCUCCCCAUCCUAG